Molecule: long non-coding RNA, 625 nt
Organism: Spinacia oleracea (spinach)
Lineage: Eukaryota; Viridiplantae; Streptophyta; Magnoliopsida; Caryophyllales; Amaranthaceae
Exons: 3
Source: RefSeq, a predicted model, not a curated record
UGUGCACAAUCAAGAUCAAAGUAAAAUGUGCGCCGUAUGCGUAAUAUUUUUAAUGUUUUAGCAAAUAAUUUUAUUUUCUGGAAUACCUCUCUAUGACUCUUCAGCUGCCUGCUUUUCAGGAAGGCUUAAACUUAGAAGUUGGAUUGUUGAUUUGAAUUAUGCCGAGAAACAAUAAUGAUCAGAUUUCAUAUUCUUGGAGGUCCCGGAGAAUAGUGGAUGACCAGCUUGCAGAUUUGAUUCUUGAUGGUGGAAGAAGAUGUUGAUGCAGUAUCUUUGAUUAGAACCUGCUUUACUGUAACUCUGUGAUUUUACGGUCACUUGGAUGCUUUCGGAUUGUUCAGAGUUGAUUUGGAUGAGGAACGAAUGAGAUGUUGACUCGAGGAUCAUUACAUGUCUCUAGGGAUAAAUGGAUAAUUUUAAGUCAACAAUGAAGCUAAAGUUAUUUUCUAAGCAUCAAAACGGACAAGCGUUCACUCUUUUGAUGAUAUCUCAAGUUCUACAUAUCAGAAGAGACGAUUUUGAUUGGGCUAGAAAGUAGGCUUAAAGUGCUUUCCAACGGUAGGUCACAUGUCCCUAGGGGAAUUGUAGAACAAGAGUUAUGACAUAAACAAAGGUGAUUCGACUA